GCAAGCGCAAAAGCGCGCGCUCGCUCGCGCGCGUGUGUAUGCGUAUGCGUGCCUGAGAGCGCGCGCUGGCGUCUUCCCAGCGUUGUAGCGGAGCGGCUCGCGCGCAACUCUGGAGUCUCACUUUUAGAAAAGAUUCACACCGAGGAAGUAAAGCAAUAUAAAUUCUUUCACAGCUGUGUGUAUGAAGAGCUACACCAGGCAACGAGCUCUGCUGUACUGGAGCAUGAUGAAGAACACAAUGAAGGUCAUGCUGCUACUGUUCUCGGUUCUUCUAACCCAACCUCUGCAGGGUCACACCAGGCCGGCCAGCCCAGAGCAAGAGCGUUCACCUCACAGACCCAUCCUCCAAGCCGGCCUGCCUGCUAAUCGUAAAGCAGUGGUGGGCAGCGAUGUGGAGUUUGAGUGCAAAGUCUAUGGUGAAUUGCCAACACACAUCCAGUGGCUGAAACACAUCGAGGUCAAUGGCAGAAAAAUUUGAGAAGAUGGUCUGCCCUAUGUCAAAGUCUUACAAAGAUCAUUCGUCACAACCACGGAUAAGGAGAUGGAAGUGCUGCAGCUCAAAAAUGUGUCUUUAGAGGACGCUGGGGUGUACACGUGCUUGGCUGGCAAUGCUAUCGGCAUUUCUCAUCACUCUGCAUUGUUGACUGUCUAUAAAGAAACGGCUGCACACACCCUGCGUGAGGAAGAUAACCUAUAUCUGAAGUGUAUGAGCAUAGAAAAGCCUCAAGAAGUGAGCUGGACCAAGGACCAAGUUCCCCUUGCUGAUGGGGAACACACUCAUCAACGCAAUGGUCAGCUAGACAUCGAGGGAGUGGAACUAGCUGACUCAGCAUUUGCGUUUGAAGAUGACAACGACGACGAUUCUUCUUCAGAGAAAGUGAAGCAUUCCAGUGGCCAAGAGCUAUCACCAAAGGCUCCGGAGUGGGCUCAGCCUGAGAAGAUGGAGAAGAAGCUCCGCAUGGUUGGAGCCAGCAAUACCGUCAAAUUAUACUGUAUGGCCAUCGGAAACCCCACACCCAUGCUCAAGUGGCUGAAGAACGGCAGGGAGUUUAAGGAAGACCAGCGCAUGGGAGGCUUUAAGGUACAAAAGAACUCAUGGUCGAUCGUAAUGGAAUCGGUGGUGCCCUCAGACAGCGGUAACUACACCUGUGUGGCGGAAAAUAAGUAUGGCAGCAUCGACCACACCUAUCAGCUAGACAUUGCUGAGCGUUCGCCUCGCAGGCCCAUCCUCCAAGCUGGCCUGCCUGCUAAUCGUACAGCAGUGGUGGGCAGCGAUGUGGAGUUUGAGUGCAAAGUCUAUGGUGACUUGCCAACACACAUCCAGUGGCUGAAACACAUCGAGGUCAAUGGCAGAAAAAUGGGAGAAGAUGGUCUGCCCUAUGUCAAAGUCUUACAAAGAUCAUUCCUCACAACCAAGGAUAAGGAGAUGGAAGUGCUGCAGCUCAAGAAUGUGUCUUUAGAGGACGCUGGGAUGUACACGUGCUUGGCUGGCAAUGCUAUCGGCGUUUCUCAUCAAUCUGCAUUGUUGACUGUCUAUAAAGGUGUUCCAGAGCGUUCGGCUCACAGACCCAUCCUCCAUCCCGGCCUGCCAGCUAAUCGUACAGCAGUGGUGGGCAGUGAUGUGGAGUUCGAGUGCAAAGUCUGUAGUCACCCGCCAGCACACAUCCAGUGGCUGAAACACAUCGAGGUCAACGGCAGCAAAGUGAGAGAAGAUGGUCUACCCUACAUCAAAAUCAUAAAGAUGGCAGGCGUGAACACCACGGAUAAGGAGAUGCAAGUGCUGCAGCUCAAGAAUGUGUCUUUAGAGGACGUUGGGGUGUACACAUGCUUGGCUGGCAACUCUAUCGGCCAUUCUCAUCACUCUGCAUGGUUGACUGUCUAUGAAGAGGGACCCAGAAGACAGAGUUGAUCCAUCAACAUUUCACACAGUCCAGCCUGUGUAUCUGGUAUCACCUUCACAAACCUGCUGCCAUCAACAAAGAGAGAAGAUGCAUAAGACAAAAUGAGCUCCAGAAAGCCAGGGGGCAGGUGGAAGCUUAAGCAAGCCGAAGAGAGCGCAUCGAAGCUUGGUCACAAUCAGUUGGUCUCACAUGGUUGGUUUCUUGGGACCCUGAGGUCCCAGACUUUCGACCAUGGGGCUCAUUUGAACCAUCUCAAACAACACUAAGACUUCAGUGUUCAUUUUGAUCAUCAAGGUGUGUUUUGGCAAAAUUCAGAUGAACCUUAAUGUUCUUCUGGGUUAGCAGUGGUUUUCACCUCACCACUCUUCCAUGGUUGCCAUUUUUGCCCAGUGUCUUUCUGAGUGGAGUCAUGAACAGUGACCUUUAUUGAUGCAAGAGAGGCCUGUAGUUCCUUUGAUGGUGUCCUUGGCUCUUUUGUGGCUUCCUGGAUGAGUCGUACUGGGUAAAACCUUUUAACCUUUUACCAGCAGUAAUCAGGCCUGGUUGCAUCUAGUCCAGCUGAACCCCAUUACGAAUGCCGUUUCAUAGAUUUGGGGAAUUAGUAACUAUGGGGGCAAAUACAUUUUCACACAGGCCCAGAUGACAUUGGAUAACUUUUUUGCUUCAAUGAAUAACAUUAUCAUAUCAUUUCUUAGAAUUUGAGAAUUUGUCUGUGGUUCCAUGGCGUAUCUAGAGUGACCAGAGGUACCAAGAUGGACAUACCUUUUAAGUUCCUUGGCCAUAGCUCCAUGUAGAAGAAUUCAAAUUUCAAAGAAGAGCAUUUUGUAAGAUGUGAAUCUUAAAAAGCGGGGGAAAAAAUCCUUCUUGUGGCAAACGCAAUCCAUUUUUGUCCUCAUUCCAGAAUCUUCCAGAACGAAACCACUGAUGUAUAUUAAGCUGCAUGACACAAUAUCAUGGCAUGGCAUGAAUUCUCAUUUUUUAAUAGGCUCGCAAACGCAAAAGAAUGUUAUUAAUAUUAUAUAAAUCUUUAC
Molecule: RNA transcript, 2932 nt
Organism: Ictalurus punctatus (channel catfish)
Lineage: Eukaryota; Metazoa; Chordata; Actinopteri; Siluriformes; Ictaluridae
Gene name: fibroblast growth factor receptor 1-A
Exons: 14
Source: RefSeq, a predicted model, not a curated record